AGUUACUGUAGGGAGGAGAGAGCUGGAAGGCAGGACAGAAGCUACAUGUUGAAUCAAAGGAGAGAAGGCGGGAAUACAAAACCACUUCAUCGUGGAAAACACAAAGGGAGACAAUUUCAGUAAAUGCCAGAUGGUCAAAAUUAACCAGAGACGUGUAGAGCCCUACAUGUCCAACUGUUUGCUUUGGCAGAGAUUCUUCAGCUUUUCGAACAAGAGUCUCUGGGGCGCCCUUUUCUUCUCCUUGGCUUUCCUCCUCUCCUUUGCUCAUCCUUUGGACUCCUCACCCCACCCUUCUCCUCUGGCUGUUUUUCCUGCCUCUCCUCUCUCACUGCUGCCCAUGAGUCAUGUUGCACCUCAAAUGCCAGCUUGUGUUACGGCGAGGGGAGACCACUGCAAAGAAAUGUCCUCAUGCAACAACAGACUUGGAGGGCAUGCAAGGUGGUGGCUGCAGCUGUCAAGGACCACUGCCAGCACAGCCCUGUGGAAAUGCUGGAGCACUUCAACCCAGUGCUUGUUGUUGCUGUGGGUAUUAAUUUCUUCCUCCCCUCCCAAGGGCCUUGACUCAGCUUUGAUUUUUUUUUGUUUCAGCCAGGAAUCCAGAAGGAGUUCUUGCGGUUCAGUAAGCAGAGGAGCAUGCAUAAGUUGCUUACCAUGAUGGAGCAGUGGGAUGUAGUCUUAGUGGGGCAGGGGGAUGCAACCUUGUUGGGGCAGUGGGACAUGUCCUUGUUGGGGCAGUGGGACAUGGCCUUGCUGGGGCAGUGGGACAUGGCCUUGCAGGGGCAGUGGGAUGUAGUCUUGCUGGGCAGUGGGCCAUGGCUGUGUUGGUGCAGAAGGAUGCUGUCUUGUUGGGGCAGAGGGACACGGCGUUCUUGAAUCCAAGCCAACUGCAUGGCAUGUUCCUCCAAACAAUGCAAUCAAGAGGGCCCUUGUAUGGCACAGACGGAGAGCUCCAGCUAACGACGGGCUCUUUUGUGUGCGCGUGUGCUCUCUGCAUUUGAAACAUUUAUUAUUCCAAAUUGCCUUCUGCACAUUUUACAAUAAUUACGACUAGUGUUUGCCUUGUUAUCUCCACAGUUACUAACAAGAAUGCCAUCAUUAUUCCAGUCAUUAGCAAAAUGGAUGUUGUUGUCCAGAGUUGCCGGCUGUGGGCCUGCUUUCAGAAGGAGUCUCAUGCUCUCCAACCUUGCCUACUCCAUCUUUCUUCCAGGGGAAUAUUGUUCUCAGUAGGUUUGAACCUGAGCGGGCGGAGGGGAAGCAGAGAUUUCAUGAAGAAGAAUUGCUUUGAGGGAGUGCUGGUGGGUGUCAGGAUUCGCAGCAGUGAGCACUGGGAAUCUGUUAAUGGCAACAUUAGUAGGAACGAGAGUAAAGGCAGCCAUUUGCCCGUGUUCCUUGUGUAUUUGGUGUAUCUUAGGUCUGCUCCUGCUGCUAGGAUCCAGUAACUCUUCCUGUAAGAAUGUGUUGCUUGGAUGUGAAGAGAUGCUAUCGAUCUUACAAUGGAGGUUGCAGAUGAAGGAGAAAAGGUUGGAAUUAAGCCGACAGCACUCAGCUGCUGUAAGGUUUUGCCCAUUUCAGAGGAGGGAAGAGGAAGGAGAUUUGUAAUCCAGAAGCCUUCCAGUUCAUGUUCCAACGAAAAUGGAGAACUUCAGAUUUCAAGUCACGUGUAUCCUUUUCUUGAAAUCUACCAAAAAUAUUUACAGGUACCUGGUGACCACACGAAGCAGUUUGAUUUGGAAUAAUGUGUUUCAUACAAAGUCAGACUGUGGUUUGUUCUCAUUUUGGUAAAAAGGAAAAAAAAAGUAUUUUAUUAUACUUGGGGGAACCAGAGCUGUUGGUUAUCUAACUCACUGUGAGACCCCAGAGGAAAGAUCUGAUUUGCUUAGUGUGUAAAGACAAUAUGCACAAACACGGAGGCAAAUAGGAAGAAAGGUUUGUUUGUUUUCCCCCACGUGCUGAUGUUUGGAACUGUGACAUUCUUCCAUGGUUCGUCCUGAUGAGGCUUGGUUCCGUACUGCCAGGUUAACCAAGGAAUCACACUGGUUGUCCUUAGCUUAUAUAGCAAGCAAGGGAAAAAUAUAGGCAUUUUUUUUUCCUCCUUUCUAAAUACAAAUUAUUAAUUCAAAGAGAGUGGUAUAACUGUUCCCUGAUAUCUCACUUAAAUGCUAGCUAGCAGGCCUUUCUCGGUUCUACUUCUGAAAGAAAAACAAUUUUCAAUAGAAUUGUAUUUGUUGAAUGCUGAUUAAACUAAAUAGUAGAGUUUAUGUGGAAAAUAAGGUAGAAAAUUACAUGUGUGACUUACUGAUUUAAACUUUUGUGUAUCUUAGAAAAACAUCACCAGAUUAAACCGUGGCAGUGAUUAAAUAUAAUUCAUAAUACAGAUAAGAGGAUGAUGUUGCUUGUAAUGAAAGAAGAACUUUUCGUGUUUUACCAAACUUGGGUUACAAGAGAGCAAAUAAGACACACAUACAAGGAAAGACCCAAAUCUGCGACAGCACACGUCGUAUGUCUGUAUAUUCAAUUACCCCAACAUGUAAUAUGUAAAAGAUAGUAAGAUCUCCAAGUCUUGUGUCUAGUCAAAAGAAAAGGUGAACUCUGCUUCAGCUCAGCCCCUGAGACAAAAUUAGGGCAAUCUGGGUGAUCGGAUAGCCCAGAUUCAGAAAGGUGCCUAAUUCUUGGCCGGAAUCAUAGCACUCUUCUGGUUUGGGACAUCUAUAGAAGGCAAUCAGAUCCUCAGUACUUAUGGUUCCCAUCAAGAAAACCUGUUCUACUCCAUUCCUCCUCUCUGCCUUGCAGUGUGUGUUUCCUGUAGCAGCUUACUAAGCCUUGUAGCCUGGUUUCAUCAGCAUGCUGCUGAUAUGCAGCCCUACGCUGUGAGCUGAUACGACCCUGACCUCACAGGUACUGCGACCUUGUGCCUAGACAUCAGGCAUCUUUUGGUGGCUGAAACUCAGAUUAAGAUGGUGACAAUGGUGAGAGCUGGAGAAACUGCUUUACAUUUGCAGCUAUGAAUGAGGACAAACUGGAUUAGGGGUAAUGGCAUAGGAGGGAGGAUUCUUUGGAAUGGUGGCGGUGAAUGGAGGUUUGCUGCCUUUAACCUUUCCAGUUCCGUGCAUUUACUUUGCAUGUCUGUGAUCUCCCAUUGUGGUACAGGAUUUGCAGUGAGUCUGGGUGCUGGUGGAGAGCAGGCAUGGAGCUGUGCUGAACAUUUACUAUGGAAUAAUAAGGGAGGGCUAGUGGCCUUUCUUUCAUCUUAAUAUGAGUCAGCCAUUACCGAGGGACGUGGGCAGAGCUUCAGUGUUCUCCACUGGAAUUGCUUGGCCAUUGUAAAAGAGGGCAAAAGCUGGAGCUUCGGUAGGCUUGGAGCUUCUGCAAAUUGAGCUGCAAUGCUCUAGUGAUUCAUUUUGGUCUUCAGAAAGUGCUCGCUCAUCUUUGAGGCAAUAAGCCCAACUCCAGAAUCUGAUAAAUCUAUUUACAAACCCUUAAAUCUGAUAAUCUACCUUGGCUGAUAAUCCCAGGUGCCUGAAAGGAGACAAGACUACCAUCUGUCGGCAGCGUUUGUCCAUCUGUAGGGUAACCAGUGCUACAGAGCUUCCCCUGUUGUCCUGCAAAGCUUUGCUCUGCUAUGUGUGUGUGGCCUGGGAACAUCUGAACGUAUCCUUUGAGGGGCAUUGGACUUAGUGACUUCAGCAUCCUGUACCAACCCAGUGCCUUACUACUCCCGUUAUAGCACUGGUAUAGCAUCGCAGGGAGCAGAGACCCAGCUCCUGUCACGCUGGACUUUCCAUCCACCUCUCCGGACAUUGCAGAAUGGUGGCUUGCAUGAAGCCAGAGGCCAAGCUCUAUGGUCUGGAGCCUCACAGGGAGUCCUCCAAGUGAAGGAUGAGCCCUGAGCUGCAGGAGAGAUCUACUCCCACUAAACCAACCUCCCGAGGGGACUUACUUCGUUUGACUGGCUCCGUCAUCCUCAGGAGGAAACUUUCCUCUGCAAGAUGGUGAAAUAGUGCCCAUGUGGAAACGUUCUGACUGCAUGCGCCUGGAGUCCGGCAUUGUUGCAGAGGAGGAGGGCGGCAUAGGAUGGCUCCAAAGAAAAGAGGUCUGCAUCAGAAGGAAAACCUCCUGCCAUGCCAGCUUGCCCAGACCUAACGGUGAGACGGCCUUUCCCAGCUACAUUAAGGGCUGCUUCUUGUGGACUGGAAGUAUUGCCAAAGAGUGAGUGAUCCUUAUUAAUAUGCAUCUCCAAAAACAACAGGCAGUCUUGCACAGAUCCUCUCACACGUAUCUUUGGAUUUUGAGACAGUGGAGAGCUAUUUAUUCCCUCUCACACCAAUGUCAGCCAUAGCGCAAGAUGUCUUGAGCUGAUUAAAAAUCUCUUUAAUCAAAUGCUGGCAGGGGAAGUGUUCAGAAUGUUAGAAGGAUGACUUUGACAAGCUGCCCCUGCACUGUGAGUGACUUCAUCCAGAGGUUGGCCCGGCAGACUGGCGUGUGAUACAAAGCCUCCACUCACCUUGAUUUCCAAAGCUGCCAACAAACUGCAGUGACGAUGCUGAGAAGCCAGUAGGGCACUGUAGCCUGUGCUCAGUUCUUCUCCGUUAGAUACUGACCCCCCCAAAAAAAACCUUUGCUACAGGCAAAAUCCAUCACUCGAUUCAUCAACCCCUACCUACGCUUCAAAUUCCUAUAUCCCAAAUCCAUGGGAACGAUUUUGAACAUGAAUGUAGGCUGGAAAUCAUUGCUGUGCAGAUUGUCUGGAGGCUUUUUUUUCCCCCCUGUUCUAUGGCUGAACUGGACUUCAAAAGAAUAAAUAAAAUCCAUUCUGGUAGCACCCCCUCCUCCCCCCCCCAACCCCCCAGGAGGAGUGUACUUCUAUGGAGAAAGGGCAUAAAGAAACCUCCUGAUAUUUUAUUCAACCAGAAUUAAGUGUUUUGAUUUUGGGGAAUUCAGCUAAUUUUCUUACUCCUCAAAAUAGGUCAGCUUUGAAAUAGAAGAUGUCACGCUGUAACAAAAAAAGGGGAAUAGAUUUGUUUAGUGAAUGUAAGAUUAUACAUACAUACUUCUGGAAUUUUAACAAGCUUAUGAAUGGAAAGAAAGCAUCCAGGUUGUUUCUCAGUCAGUUAGACUUGGAUUUAGGACCGGUUUUCACUCUCCAUAAACUGCAUUUCUUUUUCACUUAGAAGAUCCCCUCCCACCACAAAAGCCCCUUCCCCUUUUGCCAUUGCUGGAAAUAAAUAGCCAUAAUAUAGCUGGAAUUAAUACAGCUACACUGAGUCAACUAAGUGCUGAAUUUUUCUUUCCCAAUGCUCUCCGGGCACCCAGACGUGCUCAAUAGGAAGUGUUGGCACUUGGGGCUACGUAUAGAAAACCAGGGUGUGUGCUGCUGGGGCUGUUAGGGAGGAAAUCUUGUGCCAGCAGCCCUCUGCUGUGGGCCUUCUCCAAGCUUUGUCUCUAUUCCCUCAUUCCUCUGCAGAUGUCCUAAGCCACAUUUUGCUUUCAUUAUGACAAAAAUUGUGCAAGAUACUCAUCUUCUUUUAUUUAUUUAUAUAUAUAUAUAUAUAUAUAUAUAUAUAUAUAUGUAUAUGUAUUUUGUAGCAUUUCUGUGUUCCUACACCUUCUCUCUUUGCGGCAUUGCUUGUGGACAUGUAAGUAGUAGGUUAGUUUCUAUUCUCACUCUGGGGGGUUGGGUUCCAAACUGUUUAUUGAGUAAUAAAAAGAGAAAAUGGCGAGUCAUUGCCCAGGGAUAAUGUGCUAAUAAUUUUAUGACUGGACAAAUGGUUGCAACAGCCCACAAAUGGCUGUAGGCAGGAAACCUGGUGUCUAUUGCUGACAGAGCCACCCCCAAGGAGAUAAAACCUCACUUUUGGUGAUCAAAGUUGAUGCAACAACUGUGAUCUAUUAAAAAUUACUUUGGAGAUGGGUAAGGCAAUCAUUAUUCCUCUUGGAGGAGAAGUGGCGGACAUAGACUUUUUGGGAAGUGUUUAGAAGAGAGCUCUACAUGGGAUGAAUGCAACAGACCACCGUGGCUGCUUGCGCUCGGAGCCACGCGGCGCGCAGCUGCAGGGCUGCAGGCUGGGGAUGCUUGGAGAAACAAAGAUUAAAGGGGGGUUAGUGCUAUCAGGCAAACACGAAUCAUCCCAGAGAUAACAAAGGGUUGAAGUUUAUUUAGCCACUAACCGUAUGGCACUCAAGUGCGUUAGCCUGGCUUGACUGCUGCAGAGCAUGGAGCCGGAAUGGCUGCUGCAGGGCGUACACCAGGAUACACCCUGUCCCACUCUGGGCUGAUGUCCCCUGUCUGAUUACUCAAGGAGGAUGUCCCCCUCCUGGGGAUGGGGCAGUUGUCCCAUCGGCACCAAUUUCUUCCCGCUGUUGUGGAGUUUGGUGGGGAAGGAUGAGCAGGGCCCUUGUGAGGUCUCUCUCUGCCCGUCUCCCAGCAGGCAGGAGGAGCUGUACCUCUUCCAAAGCCGCAGCAGAUCCAGCCCUCGAAGCGGGCAAGAAGCCAUGUGAUGGGGCGUAGCUGCUCGCAGCUGCCAAGACCUCACAUUUGUAUGUUAGUGAUGCAGAUAGGAUCUCAUAAACCCGUCUCCAUACUGCUUUACUGCUGAUUUAACGAUCAGAGGAAGAACUUGACUGUUUAUUAAAACAUUAGACAGUAAAGUUUAACAAUAGACAGUAAAGGGUUUUGUUUUUCCAUCCCUCUGAUUGUUAAAGCAACAACACAUAGGCCUGGAGAGGGGCCUGCUGCUAACCUCAGGAUGAUGGGAUGGGGCCAUGAAGCUCCUCCAGAAGGCAGGAUAGAGCAGCUGGCAUUCUGGCAAAUCCCAUAUCUGAAGAAGGAAAUCUGAUGUAGGGUAUGGGUGCGUGCCCCAUCACCGGAGGCGCUGAGGGCUGGGCUGGAUGGGGCCCUGGGCAGCCUGAGGUGGUGGGGGGCAGCCAGCCCAUGGCAGGGGUAGGACUGGGUGGGCUGUAAGGUCCCUUCCAACCCAACCAUUCUGUGAUUCUAUGAGUCUGACUGCGAGAAGGGGCAAUCCAAUUGCUCUGUGGGCAAGAGUCUCGUGGUAGGGCUCCUGUUGUUCAGCAGACCCACAAACACCGGCAAAGGGAGCAGAUGGAAACAAAACUCGCAAGGCAACAGCAUUAUUCAGGACAGUGCCAACAAAAGCUGACUGCGAAGAAACGCCGAAGGAUUGCAGCGUGCAGGUGAUGAAAUGGCAGAGGAAAUUCAUUGUUGGUAACUGCAGAUAGAGAAAAAUCAGCAGUGGCUGUACCCAUACAGCAGCACCAUCUCAAUGAGCUAUUGCCUCUCUGGAAGGAGGCUGUGGAGGCAAGGCAGGCUGUUUCUGGAAACGUCAGCAGUGAUCACAAAGGCAGUGGCCAUUCUAGGAGUUACGGAGGAAGAAAUGGAGAGUAAAACAGGCUGCCAUUGUGCUGCUGGGUGCAUCCACAGUGCAUCCCCAUCCGAGGUGCUGCCCCUGCUUCUGGUGGCCGUGUCUUGGGGCCAAGGGAAGAUGGAAGAGGAGUUACAGGGACUUCAUAGCAGGACCUCGAGAACUUGAGCUGAAGUGGACAGAUCUGGAGGAGAAGAUGAGAGGAAGAAAGCCCUGGGUGGCUUGGAGGAGUUGGACAUGGAGCUGGACAAGCAUCUGCUCUGUGUCUGUGCUGAUGCUAUUUAGAAACCCCAGCCUUGGCUCUGCUUGACAUUUGGUAAUGCUGAACUGGGACAGCACCCAAAAAACCCCAUCCGUGUUGGACCGUCAGUAAGAGGUGGCACAUCUGACCAAAACCACGUCGCCAUUUGCUUCCUUGACAGCACAUCCUACCUUAUCCCCUGUCCUUGUCCUGCUGACCCCCGUUCCCAGCCUCCCUUGCUCAAUUUCAGCAGCAUCUUGGGAGGCCCCUUCAGCUGCAAGCCCCUCGCUUGGGAAAGAAAGUGGGGUUGGAGGGGGGGGAUCAGAGCCCAGCUGUGGGCUGGGGCAGCAGGCGAGUGCUUUCCAAACGCUGACUGCUGUUGGUGUAUUUCUGCUGGUGAGGAUGCAGCUGGCAGCGUUUGUGUGCAUGCGUUUAUACACACACACACACACACACACAUACUCACCUCCACACGAGUACACGACUAAAAUACAUAUAUUUCCUCACCCCGCAUCUUUCUGCAAGCUGCAAAAAUACAAAAGAAUAAAAUUAAGUCUCUUAUCGCUGCUAAGUCAUCAGAAACUAAUAUUGCAUCUACCGGGCAGUUUUCCCCCUCCCCCCCCCCCGAACCAUCUCCACUUCGCAAUCCUAAUUCAAUGAUUCUUUCUGUAGCUCUUUACAUUCUAUUAUUUAUAAGAAACAAUAUUCAGCCCUCCCCUGACAGUGUUUGCAGGGCUGCGGGAAGCAGUGCGGCAGAAAGGUGGUAGAACAAUUUUGGUUAUGUUUCCAUAGCUACCUAGCUGCUAAAUGUGGUUUAUUCCAUUUUAAAGUCAACCAACACACACCCGCACGCACACGCACAAACCACCAGAUGAAGUGUAUUCAAACUAAUCCCUGGGCCGCCUAUUACAGCCUAAUAUCCCUGCCAUUUGUAUAUUUAAAGGGAUAGUUGCUGCAGAAAUAAAUGGCAGGGCAGCGCUCUCGCUGGCUAGAGCAGGAUGAUCAACAUAUUGUUUCUUUCUUGCUCUCCUCUCCGACGUGUGUGUUCCACUCCAUCCCUGUAAUAUUAUUAUGGAGAUUUUUACCGAGGGCUGAGAGCUGAGGAAGUCGGAGGUAGGAUGGUGUCCUCUCGUGGCAGUCAGCAUCUCUGCAGCCUGAUGGUAGCCGUGCCAAGAGAGAGCCGAGCCUGGGCUCUCCUGGGCAUGCACGGCUGUCUUAGGGACAAAACUCUUGGAGCAGAGCUUCCCACCUCCCCUAGUGCACCCAAAGACGAGGAGCCUCCUGCUUCUGCUCCACGCCAGGCUGGAGGCUGCUGCUUGCUCUUGCUUUCCCUGCGUGAAAGAAGAACCCUUGGGAAAGGAGUGGUGGGUACCAGCUUUGCAGAGCGGAGGAAGUUUGUCCCAUGGAAGUGAGCAUCUCUGAGCUGCCGUGGGUUGGUGGAGAACAUCUCAGAGCUUGUAAUCAGUGCCUCAUAAAUCACCGCUGACUGCCGGGAUCGCUUUGGCCGCUCUUCCCCAUCGUCCUGUCUGCAGGAAUGGGCUGCACGUUUCCACGUGGAUCGGGUCUGAAUUGGCUGUCUGAAUCCAGAGAUUAAAGAAACAGCAGCCUCUCUCUCUCCUGUAACUGGCCCGAGAAUCCAUGAGCAUCCUCAGAAGUCUGAAGAGAAUGGGCAUCCUGUCUAUAUCCAAGGCAGGUAAUCACUGUAAAGGUCCUUCCCUCAUCACAUCUCUGUUGUAACACCUUUUCCUCUGUAUUGAUCUGCCACAUUGCUACACCAGGGGACUCUUUGACAGCUGAAGUUUUUGGUAUGUCUGCAUGAUGUGAAGGUCCAGAAGGCCACCACUGGGGCUUCUGGUCACCACCCCAUCAGACCUGUGAGUAUGCAGGGAUCUGAAAUAAACUUUCUAAAAAUGAGUUUCUGCCCUCAUAAUUUGUGGUGGCUUUCUGCUAUUUAGACUUCUCAUCCCUUUUCAAGAUAAAAUAUCCUCAGAAAUGCCCAUAGUGGGUUUCCAGCACGCUUUCACCGUGCCUUCAGCAAUUUUGUGCAUGUUGACUCCCUGAGGUCACUACUACAGAUGCCUCACCAGUGUACUCAACAUGAGAAGACCAACGUUGCUUGAAACAUUACUCAGGGCCCCAGCAUAAUUAUACCAAUUACAGAGUCAGGCCCUGAGCUGUGCUUUCUGAUGCACACAUCUGCCACGCGGGCUUCAUUGCAUGUGCGGAUCCUGUCGCUAAUAAUGGAAGAUGCCCCAGUCUCUCCAGGGGCAACAGUCUCUGCUACAGGCAAGGUACUAAAUCACACUUGAAGUUUCUAGGCCAAAAUGUUUUACUUUUGUUUUAGAGGAAUAAAGUUCCAAACAAGUGUGAGGUGUAUUUCCAGGCCUGAUUAACCUGGCUCACCUGGUAAUGUGGAAAAAGGGGAGCAGCCUUGUGGGAGGUGGAAGCAGGACCAUCCUGUAGAGCUGGCAUAGAAAUGAUUAGGUGGAAUUAGUUUUUAAAAAAAAAAUAGGUCUUGAAGAGCACUCAAGAAAUGUGCAUGCCACCAUGCUCCAAUGUAGAUUUAACUCUUUCUAUAUCUGUUCAACCUCCCAACAGCAUCUUUGAAAGUACCAGCGAUUUCUCUGGUCAUGGGCCCUGCCAACCUUCAGUCUUACAAGUGCUGUGGGCCUUUGAGCCAGGAGAAGGCACAAAGCCAAUUUUAAUUAGUGGUAUUUUGCAAGCCUAGGUUGCUGGAUCUUGUUGAAUCAAUCUCUGUUGCCUCAGUUAAUCCAUGCCACAGUUGCAGCAGAUGGAAGCUCCUGCAGAAGGUGACACGAAGGGACUCUGGCAUUCAGGCCUGUAAGUCUUUCCCAUUUAGACAUCCCCUUGUCUCUCCCUUUCUUCUGUGCCCUUAUCCAAAGGAUCAAGGAUGUGGCUGCAGUGUGCACACUGUAGGGUGCAUGUCAGAGGGAUCCUCAUUCCUCCCAGCAUUGAGCAGCUAUGGUGAGAUGGCCCAUCAGGUCCCACUUUUGAGCUGUUCUACCCACCUCUUUCUGUCACGCAGAUGUCCUCAGAUUUGGUGACACAGCAAAAUCCUCUUUCCGCGUGGGAUGGCAGGUUGAGAAGCUGAUCUGGAUGCAACUUAUGCAUGCUGGGAACUUCUCAGAAAUUGUUGCACUUGUGAACGUGGGUACAGAAUAGGCUGCAUAGAGUCAAAGCUCCCUCCUGGGCUGCAAAGAAUGGCAGCGAGAAACAUUAAUAGCUUCUUCUGAAUGAGCGAGUGUGAAUGCUCGGAAGCCCAAUUAGUCUGUGACUUCUACAGAGGCCUCCCACAGAGGAGGACAAAAACAUGGAGCUGAAUGGGACAGAGGAUGAGAAAAGAACAAAAACUAAUGUUCUGCAGCUGAGCAAGCCCCUUAUUUGAGUCAGUGUGAGACCCAGGAGUCUAUGAACCUGCAGGACUUUUGUGAAGGAGUCUGACUCAGCUCGGUGGAGGUCCUGGCAGAAAGCCGGGGUGUGGAAGAGUCACACCAGUAGGUUGUCCUUGCUUUGGAAGGGCAUGCAGAAGGCGCUAUGGCAAAGUGCUGUGUGGGCUUCAAGGGAUCGGCCCUGCUCAUCUCACCUGGGCCUUGUGUGUGGACUGCUGGAAAGACAGGGACCGUGUCUGAGGCACUAUAGCAUGUGUGGAUACGAAGGAGGAAGUUGAGAAAGAGGUACUGAAGGGAAGCCACUGGGCUGCUGGCCUUGUGCUCAGGCCAUUUGGUUGGGGGCUAAAACCAUGCUAAUGGCUUCCAGCACCACUGCCCAGAGCAAUGCUAUUCACACCUACCCAUGUGAUUUCCUCCAGAGACCCUUGAAGUGCUUGAUGGUGUACUGAGGAAGGUUCUUGGAUUCCAAGGCAAGAAGCAAAGCCACUUGGUAUGCUCCCUCCAUCGUUCCAGUGAUGUCACUCCCAAGGGCCAAGUGUGAUAGAGACCCACCUCGUCUGUGCGGUUAGAGCUUCCUCUUCCAUUCAUCCCCAUCCUCAAGGCUAAAAGGCCCUUUGCUAAAUAGAAAAAAUACAAGCCUCGUGUCACUGAUAGUUUUAAAAUUAUAAUGGAAACCUUCCGUCAGUGGUGACACAAUUACCUGCCCAUUUUCCUGCUCCACCUCAUUAAAGGGAAAAUGUUACAAUUAAGGUACAGGCGGGAGGAACAGAUUAAUGUUCUGUUUCUAAUGCAUUGAUGAAUUGGCACUUAGUCAAGGGGUUUAAAAAUAUUAAACCCUUGCAAAAGCCAUCCCAAAAGAGAGUGUUCUCUGCUGAGGGGCACUUCUCAGUCUGGACUGUUGGUUAUCCAUAAUUCAUGUUAGGGGUAUGCAGUGGUGUUUGUAGUGGGAGUGGGAUUUGCUUAGAUUAGUCUGCUGGUGUUCCAUGGGGUGGUCAUGUGCUCCAUGGGGGAUCUUCUCUAGGUGUUUCCCUUCACAUAAAAUCAAAUUCUUUUUCAAUUUGUUCAGUGUAUUGUACAUAUAAUUGGACAUCAGCUGUUCUUAUUCUUGCUUUUCAAUCCCUUUUCUUUCCCUUUGGCAUGUCUUUGUUAGGCAUGGCUUUGUUCCACCGAAUGCAAAAUUGCUUCAGUUUUUUAUUCUUGUCUUCAUACCAGAUCCCAGCUGCAUGAAGGGGGUGAUGAGCCUGGCAGAGGCAUGGGCUGGGCCAUUGCCAGUCCCCAACCCCAGAUCCCAUUUGCCUUUGGGAACUCCCUGGCCCACCACCAGUGCCUCCCUGAGGAGCAGCGUCCACCUUCAGUGCACAGCCUGCACCUCUAAAGCUGCUCCAAGGGGGGGUAUGAAAAUCUAUACCCACAUUCUACACCCAACUCCAGCAUUUUCUAACCCAAUUUCAGAACCUUUUUGUGGUCUUGAGCUGAGACUUGGGGCCCGCCAUGCCCACAUUUGCUACACCGCCAGCAAGUCUCACCCCUCCUAUAAUGAAAAUGUCAUUAAUGAUAAAUAUUUAUAGGGAUGCUUAUCUUUAUAUUUACUACCUUGACCUUUAUCUAUUUGGAUUUUAUUUUAAAUUUUAUGCAGCUUGCCUUUGCCUCUUCCCAGCCGUGUGGUGCCGCAGAGCAAGGAGCUCUGCAACGGCUCCGAGAUCGCUGCAUUAUAAAUACGUGCACAGUACAUACAAUUACAGAACUUUAAUGUCUGGUAUAAUUACUGUCUGCAGUUUGCAUUAAUGCUCAGGGUGAUAUAGUGAAGCAAGCGGCUCAGACACUGCGAGAUGCACGUCCCGAGGGGCAAAGGAAAAUCAUUGCUUGCGAUCCUGCGAUUAAUUAUUGUGCCUUGUGUGGAGAGGCUGAGAUUUUUCCCAAGCACUUCUUGCACCCACUGUUGAUUGAAAUGCCUACGCAGGAACGGCACUGCUGCGCAUAGCCUGCAGGCUGGGCUGUGCUUUAUAAGCAAGCAAAGGUCUUCAGUUUUAUUCUUGUAAUGUUGCAAGGGAAAACUGAGGAAAACAGCAGGAAUGAGGAGGAGAACGUGAGUCAGUGCAUCUUAAAAAGUGAUGUGUGCUCACUUGCAGGAGGCUUCCUCCAUGUAUCACCUGGCCCAGGACCCAGGAGGGUGUGCCAGGAGAUGCUGGGAGCUCGCUCUGCUGCAGAGUUUAUUAUUGUUAAACUUAAUUAAUCACUUAAUUGAAUGAAAUUAUUGAUGGAAUUCAGAAGAUCCAUGGGGGCAACUGGAUCAGAACACCAGGGAUGCUCCAGGCUGAGCUGUGCAGGGCACCGACCUGUCACAGCUCCAUGGGUUCUUUGGGUUGGAUGCCAGUGUCACUGCCCACCACAAGAAAUGGGCUGAAAAGUAAAGGGCUUGCUUGUCUGCAGCUUGUCCUUGCUACUGUGUGGGUGUUAGAGCAGUGCAAGAGCAUACGUGUGUUGCUGAUGGCAGGGAAAUCAACCACCUCGAAUCACCCACACCAAAAAAAUGAAUGAAAACUCACUAGGUCAGCUGUUAUUUUUCGGUCACAGUGGCAUCAGAUGUGAACCCUCAUGGCUAAAUGUGCAAUCACAGCAAUUGAGUGGAUUCUGCCCAUCAGGGGCUGUGAGAGCUGAUGGGAAGAAGGAGGGAGAGGAGCCCUGGGAAAUUCUGUGUUGUUGUAGAAGGACAAGGAUGGAUGACAGGCUGCCUCCGGGUAAGGAGAUAUCCCAGUGCCAGUGCUGGGAGGGCUGAGGACCGGAUUUAGCCAAGGAAGCCAACAGCUAUCAAGGAGCAGAGCAGAUCCCAUGGCCACGUGGAGAAGGGAAUUCCCAAGGGACUGGUGUCUGGAAGCCUUGGUUGAGUCCCAUGGAUGCUUUUCAUUUGAGGAAGAGGGGGGGAAAAAAAGGGAAGAAAUGAGAUAAUUGGCUUGAUUGGGCUUUGCUGAAAAUCUAGAAAAGAAAAAAGGGAAGAGAAAGUGCUGAGACAGCUCCUUUCUGUGUCUUUGAACUUCAGGCUUUGAAAAGAGGUGUGGAAAAGCUUAAGGAAUUAACAAGGACUACUGGGAAAUCACUCGGGUGGAACUUUCAGGGCUCUCAGCUCAGAAAGAAAUAGGAAGAAAAUCCUUUGUACAUACAUAUACACGCAUGCAUACACUUAGAUACAUAUGUAGGUGAGAGCGUGACCUCUUCAGCCUGCCAUUAAUCUUCAUCUCCAAUGUUUUCAUGCUGCAUUAAUGACGGGUGUUGUUGGCAGGGUGGCUGGAAGGGCAAAAGCUGCAUUUCCCCACGCUGGGGGCUGCGGAGGAGGCAGAGGCAGAUACCUGGGGCUCCCUGGCAGCGCUUGCUGAAGAUCAGCCUUGAUCAGAACAGGUCUUCUCACAGGAAACAUCAACUUUUUGUCAAAAAAGCCUGAAGAUAAAUAUUCUUGGAUGAAAACCUAUAAAAAGCUCAGACUGACAAACUAUUUUUUUUAGGCACUUCUUUUUCUCCCAACAAGAAUAUAUCUGUCAAGAGAAACAGAUGUUCUCUAUGAAGAAUCUUCUUUAAUUACAAGUCUGUCAAAAAGAGAAAUCUUCAAGUGUCUCAAGCCUCAAAUCUGCGAAUGGCUUCAGCCCUGGGCAAGAAAUCACCCCUUUCCUGAGCAGCCCCAGUGCCCUUUCUCAGCUCUUGUCAUGUCAUCCCUGCAGCUGCACCAAUAAACUGGGCAUUUUUGGAGUUUAGUUUUCAGAUGAGCCCGCUUCAAAUCAAUGGAGCUGCUGCUUUUCGUGACUCCUGGGAAUAAGAUGGCGUGGAAACAACCCACGGCCAUGCCCAAAUAAGAAAACUAAAAGAAUUAUUGGUUUUGGUCAACCUGGAACAUGGCUCUUUUUGCCCUGACAUUUUCCUAGAGGAAAGUGAAACUCUUCAUCUACAGAUUCAAAAAGUCCCAAAGGCACUCUGUCAGACAUCUCCCAACGUGCUCUCUCAGUUAUUGCUGGAUGGAUCAGAAGUUCUCCAGGGAGCAGUGAAGAUGUUUUUGCGGGCUACAUAACCUCAAAGGCUGAAAAUACUCAAUUCCAGUGUCUGCUUCUUGCUUCCAGAGGAGAUAUCUGCUCUUUGUCUUCAUCUUCAUCGUCAUCAUCUUUGUCUUUGUCUUCAUCAUCUUUGUCUUCAUCUUUGUCUUUGCUUUGUCUUUGUCCUCCUUCUCCUUCUUUCUCUCUCUCCUCUUCCUCUUCCUUUUCCUCCUUCCUCCAGCUCCUAAAUCCCCACCUUCCCUCCUUUCCUUCUCCCCAUCAUGCAUUGCAUGCUGAAUGCAGGAGGCUCUCAAAGGCAAGAGUCGGCCUGGGACACUCUUACCCACAAUAGCAGUGGUGAACAGAACCCAGGUUUUCAGCCAGGAAAUUUCACUGGUAAUCUCCUGCGAGGGAGGCACUCCCAUUUUUCAUGAUGGUUGGCCCUUGCGGGAUAUGGAUGAAAAGAGAAAGCAUUUCAUUUGCUCUUUGAAAACUGGAGCUAUAGAUCAAGGCCCUGCUCAGUCCCCUGAAGACUAGAAAUGGGAUUUUUGCAAGAAUUGAGGCUAUCCUCUCUGAAAACUAAAACAGUUAUCUACACUUUCAUCGAGAGGUCAGCAGUAGAGAUUUUUCUCCAACAGCUGGAUAAAUCCAGGCUGUUAGUGCCUCUCCUUCCCACUGUUCUCUGUUAUUGCUUUUCAUUACGUGAAGGGUGAGGAACAAGCAAAUACCUCUGCUUUCUAGCUUUGCCCUUGCCCGUUUGUACAAAGCAGCCAAACAUUUCCUUCUGACACUCAGGACCCAAGCACCUUUGGUGUCUGAUAUUUCUCCUUGGAUGCCGUGGUCUGGAUGCAGUUGCUCAGGGCUGCUUAAUCCUACCAGAUGGCAUAGAAAUGUUAUUUUUUGGACACAGGCACUCCUCUUGCCGGGUAUGGGUGCCACGGGACCAGGGCAUCCUUUGUCACCUGGACCCAUUGUGAUCUCCUGUAACACUGGGCAGGAGGGUUUGCGGAAUCACGCUGCAUCCUGCGUCCCUGAGCCUUGCAGCCAUAAAUCCUUUGCCUCUGCCACAACUGUGAUUGAGCCUGCCUGGCUUAAUUUAUUUCUCCAGAGCCCACACAGUUAUGGUAGAGAUGAUUGCCUGCUCAAGGAGCAGCACUUGGGAUGAAAUCUUUUCCUCUUGAGAGUGCUGCUGGAAAAACAAGGCAGUGUCCGUGAGCUGCCAGCAAUCCCCAUGUAGGCAUUGUCUUUGCUUGGCCACUUCUUUGCGGUGCUCUCAUCCUUCCUGACCUCUCCCCUUCUCUCCCUUCCUUUAAGUCCUUUUCUCUCUGUUUCAUUUCUACCUAUGUCUCUUCCUCUUCAGGUUCCUCGCUAGGCACUGGAGCUGAUUGCAGUGGUGAUCCAGCAAAUCACAGUAGUGAUGCUGCUGAUGGAAUAACUCCUUGGGGUUCCACGCGGUUGCUGUGCGGGCACUGAGUUUCAAACUGCAGAAAAGGAGCAGGAAAGCCUGAUAUUUGGGUGCAUCAACUGGAGCUUUCAUCCCCACCCCAGGGAGAUGGGUUUUGGAGCCCUAGCAGUCUGCCCACCCUAUGGACAUGGCCAGAUACCCCCAGUUCCUUCCCAAGCACUGCUACCCAGAGAGGUGCUCUGUCCUGGCUAUGGGAGUUGAGCACGAAUAACUCACAAAUAAUGGAAAUCCCCACCAUGUGCCCCCAGCAUUGGCACGGCUCAGAGCCCUGCAAGAAGCGCGCUGCCUUGUUUGUCACCUGAAGCACUUGGAAAAAUUACACAAAUCCAUCAAUGUAAUGAAUCUUCUCAGCAGUGGCGAAUAGACAGAGACAGACAGGCACUCAGCUGAAACAAGUCAUCUUUAAAAAUUAAUACAAAAUAAACAGCUGGCCUUUCGCUCCGCUUCCAGGUGGUGGCUGCGUGGUUUGGGCGAGGGCUGGGCAGGGAUCAAUGAUGGUUCCCAAUGGGAUCACGUCCCUGGGGCAGGGAAGUGUCCUCUGCCGUGUCCCUGUCACUGUCACAGUGUCACCUCCAUCUGCUGCUGCUCCAGGAAUGGUGGUGCAGCGCGGCAGUCAGUGUUGCACUGCGUGAGUGACUGCUUAAGAAACAGCCAAAUCUUUGGGAAUGCCAAAGCCUCAUCACCUCCCUACAGCCUUGCCAGGCUUCUGCCAGCCCUCUGGGCUCUCACAUCAGUUUGUCAGUGUCUGAUGGAGCUUGUACACUCCUCAGAGGACAGGCUGAGCUUGCUCUCCUGCUUGUCACGAUGUGGGCUCCAUAAAUAAUUAACAGCGGUGCUGCUUCUGCCCUCGAGCUUUCAUUUCAUUACCCAGGAAUAACAUACCCACCUAUAUACGUGUGUAUGUACAUGUCUGCGUGUAAUACGCAUCCAUAUGUACUUACAUUGCUUAAACAUCUGUUUCACCGGCCAGCCUCUCUGCUUUUCCUUCGGCCAUGGCUCUGUCUCCCUGCUGGUCCCAAGGGCAGGCAAGCAGCAGAAGGCGCUGCUCUCGACCGUGAGCAUCCCACCAGUGCUCCAGCUGCUCCUGCUCUGAGGCCAGGCUAUUUACGAGGUACCCAUGGGGCUGCCCUUGCCCUGCAGAGUGUGGGGAUGGAGAGCGGGGAGGAAGACGGAUGGAUCCUGAAUUGAGGUGAAUUUAUGGGGCUUUGCGAUUCCUGCUGCUGUAUGUCUCCGAGAAAUGACACCGCCACUUCAGGAGCAGAGAUUAAUCUGAGCCGGCAGGAGAAGGACAAAACAAAUCAUCUACUGCAGGAAUCUCAUUUGAUGCCUGUUAGUAAAAGCACUGCGAUGAAUGGCUUUUGUAAAGACCGCGUAGUACAGGCUUUUUUUUUUUCCUCCCUUUUCUCCAUUCGUCUGCAAAUUGAGGUCUGUGAGGUGUGUGGUGGAGGCACCCCAGGGUCACUCAUGGCCAGGCACAGGACAAGGACUCCCAGCAGCUUUGUGCACUGUGAGACAGGAGAGCAAAAAAGGGAAGGCAGAGCUCCCAGCGCGUCGUACCCAAGGAAGGAAUCCUUCGCUUUUGUUUUUAAAAGGGCAUUGAUUCUCACGUCCUGCAGAACACGGGGUCGGGGCAGCCUGCAGCCCCAGACAGAACAUCCCAGUGCUGCUCUGCAUCCCAGCCAGCAGCAGCUGGAUGCGGCCCAGUGGGAGCAGUACCAGCACCGAGCACUCCUCCCGCACGCCGCUGUGCAUCCCAGCUCAAUACAGAAUCAAUUGGAUUGAUCUUUUUUUAAGGUGCAGCCUCCGAACGGCUGAGACUGUGAGAGACGUGGCUAAGCACGCACUUCCACAAAAUAAUUUGUCAGGCCCCGCUGUAGAAACCUAAUGAUGGCUGUAAUUUAUUGCUGACAGACGAUAUUUAUCACCGCAGCAUCCCCUCUUUCUCUUCCUCUGUCUCGUUAGGAAUGGCAUCAAUAAUGUUUAUUGUAGCUUUUAAUUUUUUAUCGCUGGUAUUCUUACCUGUGCUGCUGAGGGCUGCAGGAGAUGGGAAAGGCGUCAGAGCAGAUGGAGGCUCAGCUCUGUGCUGAAGGGUGAGCGAUGAAGGCUGGAAGUUCCUCCUGCGUGCCCAUGCAGGGAGCGUGCAGUGCCAGAGAGCACCCCGAUAGCAGGGAAAAGUGAGCUGUUCCCAUAAAGCUUACUCCCUCUCUUCUGAGCCUUUGGACCUGUGCAAGGGAUGCUCAGACCCAGCAAAGCAGUGGCAUUGCUUUGGUUUUCCCCAGACGCUGCUCCCACGUGGGGCUGGAGAAGGAACAUCACCCCUCCGCUGCUGCACCUGCAUUGCUGCGAUCAUCUCACACCUGAUGAUGCCCACAAGCCCUGUGGUCACAGUUCUUGUCCCUGAAAGCAACCAAAACCCCAACUCCAAUCCUGAAAUCUCCUUUUUUUCCCCUCGUUUUCCUACAGUUUUUCCUACCCUUGAGGAAAUGUGCUGCACCAGGUUGUGAUGCCCUAUAAACCAGCACUUCCCAGAGGGGAUUUCUUCCCCCUUUCCAGACGUGAAUAAUUACCCAGGCAGAGGCUGUUCCAGCCUCGUUACAGGAGCCUCUCAGACUAGCCGGUCAUUUACAGAUUAGAUAGAUGUUGCCCACGUUGUUCAUAACUGAUUAUGGGAUUGGCAGUUUGGCUCUCACCCAAAAUUCAGAGUCCUGAUUUAGCAUAAUUGGAAGUGAAUGGCGGAGCAGGCUGGGGGAUGGGGAUGGUGCCUGCUGCUGAUUUCCUAAUGCCGGCUUUGGGGAUCCCUGACAAGCUGCGGAGUGCUCUUUAUAGGGCAAUAACGUUUACGGUGUGGGUUGUCUGGGGGAGGAACUCCUGUGAUGGCAGCAGCCACCUCCUGCACGUCCCAGAUCGAAGCUGGAGAAAUCAAGAAUACCAGAAAAGCAACGAGGAUGAUAUUAAAAAGUAAUCCCUUCUGUGUCAAGGUGUGGGCUUUUUUGCUUAUAGAAAUUGUUCUUCUGCAUUAAUCUA
Long non-coding RNA from Gallus gallus (chicken), 19532 nucleotides. RefSeq lists it as uncharacterized. The transcript is spliced from 9 exons. NCBI's taxonomy places the organism in Eukaryota, Metazoa, Chordata, Aves, Galliformes, Phasianidae. The record is from RefSeq and is a predicted model, not a curated record.